Molecule: ribosomal RNA, 253 nt
Filed under: uncultured bacterium
Lineage: Bacteria
Description: partial 16S ribosomal RNA
Rfam family: Bacterial small subunit ribosomal RNA
Source: RNAcentral
GACGAACCGUGCAAACGUUAUUCGGAAUCACUGGGCUAAAAGGGCGCGUAGGCGGGCUCGCCAGUCAGGGGUGAAAGCCUCCAGCUCAACUGGAGAAGUGCCUUUGAUACUGCGAGUCUCGAGGGAGGUAGGGGCGUGCGGAACUUCCGGUGGAGCGGUGAAAUGCGUUGAUAUCAUCAGGAACACCGGUGGCGAAAGCGGCAUCCUGGACCGAGAUCGACGCUGAGGCGCGAAAGCUAGGGGAGCAAACGGG